This 88-nucleotide microRNA precursor is filed under the name Equus caballus (horse). RNAcentral's name for it is "mir-9014 microRNA precursor family". It matches the Rfam family "mir-9014 microRNA precursor family". The record is from Rfam by way of RNAcentral. Lineage: Eukaryota; Metazoa; Chordata; Mammalia; Perissodactyla; Equidae.
GGAGCCAUAGGGAGGGAUUCCAAACCAGCCUUAGGAAAAGAAACCUGCUGCAGGAGUCUUGGAGAUUGGCGGCCGUCCUGAUGAGUUA